GAUGAACGCUAGCGAUAGGCUUAACACAUGCAAGUCGAGGGGCAGCAUGGCCUUAGCUUGCUAAGACUGAUGGCGACCGGCGCACGGGUGCGUAACGCGUAUGCAACUUGCCUCACAGAGGGGGAUAACCCGUCGAAAGACGGACUAAUACCGCGUACACUUGGGAUAGGGCAUCCUGACCCAAGGAAAUGAAAUUCGCUGUGAGAUAGGCAUGCGUCCCAUUAGCUAGUUGGUGAGGUAACGGCUCACCAAGGCGACGAUGGGUAGGGGAACUGAGAGGUUGAACCCCCACACUGGUACUGAGACACGGACCAGACUCCUACGGGAGGCAGCAGUGAGGAAUAUUGGUCAAUGGGCGAGAGCCUGAACCAGCCAAGUCGCGUGAAGGAUGACUGUCUUAUGGAUUGUAAACUUCUUUUAUACGGGAAUAACAAGAGCCACGUGUGGCUCCCUGCAUGUACCGUAUGAAUAAGCAUCGGCUAACUCCGUGCCAGCAGCCGCGGUAAUACGGAGGAUGCGAGCGUUAUCCGGAUUUAUUGGGUUUAAAGGGUGCGUAGGCGGCCUGUUAAGUCAGCGGUGAAAUCUAGGAGCUUAACUCCUAAAUUGCCAUUGAUACUGGCGGGCUUGAGUGUAGAUGAGGUAGGCGGAAUGCGUGGUGUAGCGGUGGAAUGCAUAGAUAUCACGCAGAACUCCGAUUGCGAAGGCAGCUUACUAAGGUACAACUGACGCUGAAGCACGAAAGCGUGGGUAUCAAACAGGAUUAGAUACCCUGGUAGUCCACGCAGUAAACGAUGAUAACUGGGCGUAUGCGAUAUACAGUAUGCUCCUAAGCGAAAGCGUUAAGUUAUCCACCUGG
RNAcentral lists this ribosomal RNA (856 nucleotides) under uncultured Bacteroidota bacterium. RNAcentral's name for it is "bacterial SSU rRNA". It matches the Rfam family "Bacterial small subunit ribosomal RNA", at positions 28 to 876 of the family's 1533-position model. Lineage: Bacteria; Pseudomonadati; Bacteroidota. The record is from RNAcentral.